CCUGGCUCAGAUUGAACGCUGGCGGCAUGCCUUACACAUGCAAGUCGAACGGUAACAGGUCUUCGGAUGCUGACGAGUGGCGAACGGGUGAGUAAUACAUCGGAACGUGCCCAGACGUGGGGGAUAACGAGGCGAAAGCUUUGCUAAUACCGCAUACGAUCUAAGGAUGAAAGCAGGGGACCGCAAGGCCUUGCGCGUUUGGAGCGGCCGAUGGCAGAUUAGGUAGUUGGUGGGAUAAAAGCUUACCAAGCCGACGAUCUGUAGCUGGUCUGAGAGGACGACCAGCCACACUGGGACUGAGACACGGCCCAGACUCCUACGGGAGGCAGCAGUGGGGAAUUUUGGACAAUGGGCGAAAGCCUGAUCCAGCAAUGCCGCGUGCAGGAUGAAGGCCCUCGGGUUGUAAACUGCUUUCGUACGGAACGAAAAGCCUGGGGCUAAUAUCCCCGGGUCAUGACGGUACCGUAAGAAUAAGCACCGGCUAACUACGUGCCAGCAGCCGCGGUAAU
This 509-nucleotide ribosomal RNA is filed under the name uncultured Comamonadaceae bacterium. RNAcentral's name for it is "bacterial SSU rRNA". It matches the Rfam family "Bacterial small subunit ribosomal RNA", at positions 18 to 524 of the family's 1533-position model. Lineage: Bacteria; Pseudomonadati; Pseudomonadota; Betaproteobacteria; Burkholderiales; Comamonadaceae. The record is from RNAcentral.